CCUACGGGAGGCAGCAGUAGGGAAUAUUGGGCAAUGGGCGGAAGCCUGACCCAGCCAUGCCGCGUGCAGGAAGAAGGCGUUAUGCGUUGUAAACUGCUUUUUUAUAGGAAGAAGGAUCCCUUGCGAGGGAAGGUGACGGUACUAUAAGAAUAAGCACCGGCUAACUCCGUGCCAGCAGCCGCGGUAGUACGGAGGGUGCAAGCGUUGUCCGGAUUUAUUGGGUUUAAAGGGUGCGUAGGCGGUUUAUUAAGUCAGUGGUGAAAGACGGUCGCUCAACGAUUGCAGUGCCAUUGAUACUGGUAGACUUGAGUGAGAUUGAGGUAGCUGGAAUGGAUAGUGUAGCGGUGAAAUGCAUAGAUAUUAUCCAGAACACCGAUUGCGAAGGCAGGUUACUAAGUCUUAACUGACGCUGAGGCACGAAAGUGUGGGGAUCAAACAGGAUUAGAUACCCGGGCAGUCCACACUGUAAACGAUGAUGACUAACUGUUGGCUUUCGGGUCAGUGGUACAGAGAAAUCGUUAAGUCAUCCACCUGGGGAGUACGCCGGCAACGGUGAAACUCAAAUGAAUUGACGGCUGAGACGNGCGAGACGACGACGAGGGAGGAGG
Molecule: ribosomal RNA, 608 nt
Filed under: uncultured bacterium
Lineage: Bacteria
Description: bacterial SSU rRNA
Rfam family: Bacterial small subunit ribosomal RNA
Source: RNAcentral